AUAUUUAAAUAUUUCAUCAAUCAUAAAUAUGAAAUUUUUUUUUGCUAAUUCAGUUCAUAGGAAAAUAACAAAAUAAUUUUCAGAAAAUAGCACCUAGUAAUUUCAUAUAUACAUAUGUGGUGCAUUCUUUUAUCUUCACUGUUAGUGUUUAGAAUUAUUUGUUAUUAAUUAUCAUAUCAAAAUAAUUAUCUUUUUGUUAAAUAAGUAAAAAAAAAAAAU
RNAcentral lists this unclassified non-coding RNA (219 nucleotides) under Hevea brasiliensis (rubber tree). The record is from RNAcentral. Lineage: Eukaryota; Viridiplantae; Streptophyta; Magnoliopsida; Malpighiales; Euphorbiaceae.